CGGUCGGCAGUUCACCGAGGCGUCGCUGUUCCCUUUGGGAAGCUAAACCUGCCC
Molecule: regulatory RNA element, 54 nt
Organism: Rhodomicrobium vannielii ATCC 17100
Lineage: Bacteria; Pseudomonadati; Pseudomonadota; Alphaproteobacteria; Hyphomicrobiales; Hyphomicrobiaceae
Rfam family: COG3860 RNA
Source: Rfam